Molecule: ribosomal RNA, 253 nt
Filed under: uncultured bacterium
Lineage: Bacteria
Description: partial 16S ribosomal RNA
Rfam family: Bacterial small subunit ribosomal RNA
Source: RNAcentral
UACGUAGGGUGCAAGCGUUAAUCGGAAUUACUGGGCGUAAAGCGUGCGCAGGCGGUUUUGUAAGUCUGGCGUGAAAGCCCCGGGCUCAACCUGGGAAUUGCGAUGGAGACUGCAAGGCUUGAAUCUGGCAGAGGGGGGUAGAAUUCCAGGUGUAGCGGUGAAAUGCGUAGAUAUCUGGAGGAACACCGGUGGCGAAGGCGGCAUCCUGGACCGGUAUUGACGCUGAGGCGCGAAAGCCAGGGGAGCAAACGGG